This 447-nucleotide ribosomal RNA is filed under the name uncultured bacterium. RNAcentral's name for it is "bacterial SSU rRNA". It matches the Rfam family "Bacterial small subunit ribosomal RNA", at positions 330 to 794 of the family's 1533-position model. The record is from RNAcentral.
ACCAGACUCCUACGGGAGGCAGCAGUGGGGGAUAUUGCACAAUGGGGGGAACCCUGAUGCAGCGACGCCGCGUGGGUGAAGAAGCGCCUCGGCGCGUAAAGCCCUGUCAGCAGGGAAGAAAAUGACGGUACCUGAAGAAGAAGCCCCGGCUAACUACGUGCCAGCAGCCGCGGUAAUACGUAGGGGGCAAGCGUUAUCCGGAUUUACUGGGUGUAAAGGGGGCGCAGACGGCGAUGCAAGCCAGGAGUGAAAGCCCGGGGCCCAACCCCGGGACUGCUCUUGGAACUGCGUGGCUGGAGUGCAGGAGGGGCAGGCGGAAUUCCUGGUGUAGCGGUGAAAUGCGUAGAUAUCAGGAGGAACACCGGUGGCGAAGGCGGCCUGCUGGACUGCAACUGACGUUGAGGCCCGAAAGCGUGGAGAGCAAACAGGAUUAGAUACCCCAGUAAU